Molecule: ribosomal RNA, 255 nt
Filed under: uncultured bacterium
Lineage: Bacteria
Description: partial 16S ribosomal RNA
Rfam family: Bacterial small subunit ribosomal RNA
Source: RNAcentral
UACGUAGGGUGCAAGCGUUAUCCGGAAUUAUUGGGCGUAAAGAGCUCGUAGGCGGUUUGUCGCGUCUGCUGUGAAAACUGGAGGCUCAACCUCCAGCCUGCAGUGGGGUACGGGCAGACUAGAGUGCGGUAGGGGGAGAUUGGAAUUCCUGGUGUAGCGGUGGAAUGCGCAGAUAUCAGGAGGAACACCGAUGGCGAAGGCAGAUCUCUGGGCCGUAACUGACGCUGAGGAGCGAAAGCAUGGGGAGCGAACAGG